GACGAACGCUGGCGGCGUGCUUAACACAUGCAAGUCGAACGGAAAGGCCCUGCUCUUGUGGGUUGCUCGAGUGGCGAACGGGUGAGUAACACGUGAGUAACCUGCCCUUAACUUUGGGAUAACUUCAGGAAACUGGGGCUAUUAUCGGAUAGGAUCUCCUGCUGCAUGGUGGGGGUUGGAAAGUUUCGGCGGUUGGGGAUGGACUCGCGGCUUAUCAGCUUGUUGGUGGGGUAGUGGCUUACCAAGGCUUUGACGGGUAGCCGGCCUGAGAGGGUGACCGGCCACAUUGGGACUGAGAUACGGCCCAGACGCGUACGGGAGGCAGCAGUGGGGAAUAUUGCAGAAUGGGCGGAAGCCAGAUGCAGCAACGCCGCGUGCGGGAUGACGGCCUUCGGGGUGUAAACCGAUUUCGCCGGUGACGAAGAGUGAGUGACGGUAAUGGGUAAAGAAGCAACGGCUAACUACGUG
Molecule: ribosomal RNA, 468 nt
Filed under: uncultured bacterium
Lineage: Bacteria
Description: partial 16S ribosomal RNA
Rfam family: Bacterial small subunit ribosomal RNA
Source: RNAcentral